AGGACGAACGCUGGCGGCGUGCUUAACGACAUGCAAGUCGAGCGGAAAGGCCCUUCGGGGUACUCGAGCGGCGAACGGGUGAGUAACACGUGAGUAAUCUGCCCUUAGCUCUGGGAUAGCUCCGGGAAACCGGGAUUAAUACCAGAUACGACCACUUUAGACAUCUGCCGUGGUGGAAAGAAUUUCGGCUAAGGAUGAGCUCGCGGCCUAUCAGCUUGUUGGUGGGGUAACGGCCUACCAAGGCGACGACGGGUAGCCGGCCUGAGAGGGCGACCGGCCACACUGGGACUGAGACACGGCCCAGACUCCUACGGGAGGCAGCAGUGGGGAAUAUUGCGCAAUGGGCGAAAGCCUGACGCAGCGACGCCGCGUGGGGGAUGAAGGCCUUCGGGUUGUAAACCCUUUCAGCAGGGACGAAGCGAAGUGACGGUACCUGCAGAAGAAGCGCCGGCUAACUACGUGCCAGCAGCCGC
Molecule: ribosomal RNA, 473 nt
Filed under: uncultured bacterium
Lineage: Bacteria
Description: SSU rRNA
Rfam family: Bacterial small subunit ribosomal RNA
Source: RNAcentral